Molecule: long non-coding RNA, 664 nt
Organism: Ailuropoda melanoleuca (giant panda)
Lineage: Eukaryota; Metazoa; Chordata; Mammalia; Carnivora; Ursidae
Exons: 2
Source: RefSeq, a predicted model, not a curated record
GUGUAUGAGAAACAAACUUGCAUAUGCCCAGAGUGGGCAUUACAUGGCUUCUGGUCCUGUCCCCACAGAUAGCAUGUAUCUGGAGCAAAGGGGGAUAAAUAAGUGAUCUUAUUAUGUGGCAUCUUCUCUUUGCCUCAAACCUGGCAGAUUAUCUUAGCUAUAAAAAUACAGAUGGAAUCAGCAUUUUGUAUCAAUAUAAUACUUAAUUAUUCUCUGUAUUUGUUGUAGCUGUUCUAAAGAAAUCCCAGUGGUGGUUCUGCUGAAAUUUGUUUCAGAAGGAGAUAAUAUCCCAGAUGCAUUAGGUCUUGUUGAGUAUCUUAACGAAUGGCUUCAGAUAAUCAAACCAUGUUUACAGUGUGAUGACCCCACAAAAUCUGCCUUGCAGUGGAAAAUGCCAAGUUCGUGGAGAUUACUCUUUGGCAGUGGUCUUCCCCCUGCACUUUUUUGAUCUUUUUUCAGUUUUAUACUUUAUGUCCCAGGACACUUAUUACCAACACAACUGUUAAACAACUAUAUAAAAACUUAUCUGAGAAUGUAUUAGAAAAUAAAUCUUUACUUUUCACAAAAAUCUCAAAGAAAAUGGAUUAACAAAAAUUUGUUUUGCCAUGCUUUUCACUAUAUACACCAGAUGUAAAUUUUGUACAAUAAAAUAUUUCCUAAGUAA